CCGCGUGGGUGAUAGAAGGCCUUCGGAUUUGUAAAGCCCUUUUGUUGGGAAAGAAAUCCUGCUGGAUUAAUACCCGGUUGGGAUGACGGUACCCAAAGAAUAAGCCCCGGCUAACUUCGUGCCAGCAGCCGCGGUAAUACGAAGGGUGCAAGCGUUACCCGGAAUUACUGGGCGUAAAGCGUGCGUAGGUGGUCGCUUAAGUCUGAUGUGAAAGCCCUGGGCUCAACCUGGGAACUGCAGUGGAAACUGGACAACUAGAGUGCGGAAGAGGGUAGCGGAAUUCCUGGUGUAGCGGUGAAAUGCGUAGAGAUCAGGAGGAACAUCCAUGGCGAAGGCGACUCCCUGGACCAACACUGACACUGAGGAACGAAAGCGUGGGGAGCAAACAGGAUUAGAUACCCUGGUAGUCCACGCCCUAAACGAUGAGAACUGGAUGUUGGGUGCAAUUUGGCACUCAGUGCCGCAGCUAACGCGUUAAGUUCUCCGCCUGGGGAGUACGGUCGCAAGACUGAAACUCAAAGGAAUUGACGGGGGCCCGCACAAGCGGUGGAGCAUGUGGUUUAAUUCGAUGCAACGCGAAGAACCUUACCAGGUCUUGAC
This 600-nucleotide ribosomal RNA is filed under the name Lysobacteraceae bacterium Ri3Pw_6223. RNAcentral's name for it is "bacterial SSU rRNA". It matches the Rfam family "Bacterial small subunit ribosomal RNA", at positions 397 to 985 of the family's 1533-position model. The record is from RNAcentral. Lineage: Bacteria; Pseudomonadati; Pseudomonadota; Gammaproteobacteria; Lysobacterales; Lysobacteraceae.